RNAcentral lists this ribosomal RNA (304 nucleotides) under uncultured bacterium. RNAcentral describes it as "partial 16S ribosomal RNA". It matches the Rfam family "Bacterial small subunit ribosomal RNA", at positions 506 to 809 of the family's 1533-position model. The record is from RNAcentral.
CAGCAGCCGCCGCGGUAAUACAGAGGGUGCGAGCGUUAAUCGGAUUUACUGGGCGUAAAGCGUGCGUAGGCGGCUUCUUAAGUCGGAUGUGAAAUCCCUGAGCUUAACUUAGGAAUUGCAUUCGAUACUGGGAAGCUAGAGUAUGGGAGAGGAUGGUAGAAUUCCAGGUGUAGCGGUGAAAUGCGUAGAGAUCUGGAGGAAUACCGAUGGCGAAGGCAGCCAUCUGGCCUAAUACUGACGCUGAGGUACGAAAGCAUGGGGAGCAAACAGGAUUAGAUACCCCGGUAGUCCCUGUCUCUUAUAA